GCUUUUCCUAUGGAUUGUUGCUAUCGUGGUGUUUAUCAAUGAUCCAAGUUCUCAAGGUAUCCUCUUGGUGAAAGAAGUUUUGCAUAUCUUGUUGCUCCCAAUCAACUAAUUGUUUCUGUUAGUGGUAGGUUGUCACCUCAUAAUUUUCAGAUGUUUUCCAUAAGCCAACAACAAGCUUACUCUUUUCAUUGUUGAUUUUCGAACAACUGUGUCGAAUAUUUUUUUUUCUAAGGUUGCUUUUCAAAUUCAAUGGUGGUAGAAGUUGUCAUUUUAUUUUUCGUUCUUUUCUCUCCAAAGAUCUAGCUUCUAUUGUUUUGUUCCGAAGGCGUUGUGAUGUUGCUCUCUUCAAAUCGUCAUCUCUGUUAUCAAGAUCAUGUUCUUUCCUUGCUUAUCAAUUUAACCGGAGAGUUGUGCCAUCUUUACAACUUCUUUCCAUCUCAUCAAGUUUUGCAACUAUUUUCUACUAAGGUGCUGCCUAAAUUUCUUUAAAAUUAUUUCUGGUUCCUCAUAUCAUUCUUCAUAUCUUUGUAACCUACAAAGUUCAUUUGUUUCACUCAUUUGUCAAACAAGCAACACAGUUUUACCCAUUCCUUUCCUCUUCCUCUUCCUUUUAUCAUUCUAAGAUCUCGGGUCGAGAUCUCUUGUUAGCGAAGGAGAGUUGUAACAGCCCAAGACCGACGCUCUAGAUUCCUUCUAUGUAUUUCAUCAUAAUCGUGUGUUUAUUUGUUUGUAGCAAUCAUCAUUGCAUCAUUUGCAUUGCAUCGACACUUUGUCGCCAUUGUUU
This 784-nucleotide long non-coding RNA is filed under the name Hordeum vulgare. RNAcentral describes it as "long non-coding RNA (HVUL_LNC010206)". The record is from RNAcentral. Lineage: Eukaryota; Viridiplantae; Streptophyta; Magnoliopsida; Poales; Poaceae.